AUACGAAACAAUAACAUAACGACUUUGUCAACUGGUGUGCCCACAUACUGGCCAACUGAUAGUCGAAAAAUUCCAGAUUUGAUUGAUUUCAUAGUAUUCUCUGGAAUCCCACAAUCACACAUGCGAGUAAUGGAGAGCUUUGACCUUAACUCAGAUCAUUCUCCAAUAAUAGCAACUUACAGCACAAUAGCCCAUAUGUUGGAAAAGUCCUAUAAAGUAAUAACAGCCUCUACAGACAUUAACGCAUUUAAAAGCCAUUUAGAUUCAGCUAUAAGCCUGGACAUUCCGUUAAAAACAGGAGAGGAGAUAGACUAUGCUGUGGAGCUUUUCACAAAUACAAUUCAUAAUGCGAGCUACAGAAACACGAAUCAUGCUCUUAAUCAUCAACAACCAAACCAAUUGAACCUUUCAACCGAUCUUCGACAAAAAAUACAAAAUAAAAGGAAUCUGCGAAAACGCUGGCAAGAAACUCACUACCCUGCUGACAAAAGAUUAUACAACAAGGCUGCAUCUGAGCUUAGACAACUGCUGUCGAACUUACGCAAUGAAUCUCUAGCUGCGCAUCUGAGAAACUUAGACCAUAAUUCAAGCAACAAUGAAUACAACCUAUGGAGGGCGACUAAAUACCUAAAGAAACCAGAUAAAAGAAACAUAAAUAUUCGCAA
RNAcentral lists this long non-coding RNA (665 nucleotides) under Drosophila guanche. Lineage: Eukaryota; Metazoa; Arthropoda; Insecta; Diptera; Drosophilidae. The record is from RNAcentral.